CCUACGGGUGGCUGCAGUGGGGAAUAUUGCACAAUGGGCGCAAGCCUGAUGCAGCCAUGCCGCGUGUGUGAAGAAGGCCUUCGGGUUGUAAAGCACUUUCAGCGGGGAGGAAGGCGGUGAGGUUAAUAACCUCAUCGAUUGACGUUACCCGCAGAAGAAGCACCGGCUAACUCCGUGCCAGCAGCCGCGGUAAUACGGAGGGUGCAAGCGUUAAUCGGAAUUACUGGGCGUAAAGCGCACGCAGGCGGUCUGCCAAGUCGGAUGUGAAAUCCCCGGGCUCAACCUGGGAACUGCAUUCGAAACUGGCAGGUUAGAGUCUUGUAGAGGGGGGUAGAAUUCCAGGUGUAGCGGUGAAAUGCGUAGAGAUCUGGAGGAAUACCGGUGGCGAAGGCGGCCCCCUGGACAAAGACUGACGCUCAGGUGCGAAAGCGUGGGGAGCAAACAGGAUUAGAUACCCGGGUAGUC
RNAcentral lists this ribosomal RNA (465 nucleotides) under uncultured Klebsiella sp. RNAcentral describes it as "bacterial SSU rRNA". It matches the Rfam family "Bacterial small subunit ribosomal RNA", at positions 338 to 795 of the family's 1533-position model. Lineage: Bacteria; Pseudomonadati; Pseudomonadota; Gammaproteobacteria; Enterobacterales; Enterobacteriaceae. The record is from RNAcentral.